AAAACACAUUAAUAUGUUAUUUUAUCUUUACAAAGAUAAUAUAAUAUAAUACAUGAUGACUUUGCCACACAGAUUUUCAACAAAAUCUUGGACGUAGCUGGACUCUUUCAUAUGUGCUUGAAAACAAAUUAUUGCAAAGAUGAUCUCUAAGUCCAUGCAGAAUCUGCAUGCUUGUGAUUAAACAGAAACUAAAUUAAUUAAAAAUAUCUCCGACCAUCUUCUCCAUGUUCUGACCUCACAUGUUGAAUCUCCUACAACAUAUUCAAAAAUAUAACAUGCUUUUG
This 284-nucleotide long non-coding RNA is filed under the name Lathyrus oleraceus (garden pea). RNAcentral describes it as "Pisum sativum (pea) long non-coding RNA (PSAT_LNC012719)". Lineage: Eukaryota; Viridiplantae; Streptophyta; Magnoliopsida; Fabales; Fabaceae. The record is from RNAcentral.